Molecule: ribosomal RNA, 990 nt
Filed under: Triticum aestivum (bread wheat)
Lineage: Eukaryota; Viridiplantae; Streptophyta; Magnoliopsida; Poales; Poaceae
Description: partial small subunit ribosomal RNA
Source: RNAcentral
AUGGAGGAAACUAGACUAGGAGAUCGUAGAGAUGAAUUCAGACGCAUCCAGGUGAAGUUUGCUAACAUCCUCAACAAGGAUGUCAUCGGCCAUGCCGGUGUGUUGAAUGGCGGCGAACCUAGAGGUCGAUCUGGUGAAGAGGGGCUCCGGGCGCGCCCAAGAAUCAGUGAGCACAUAAGGCAAGGCCAGGUGGCGCAGGUGGCCGAUGGCCGGCAGCGCCCACGGCCCCGGCGGGAGUCUGUUAGCGUGCGUGGCCGUCCGCCGUCGUUCGGGUCGCCCGCCUACAGCCCGACUCUCUCUACGUGUGGCUGGUUGAUUUUGUUCGUUCUUCGUCGUGUUCUUCAUCUGUUUCAUGGUGCUGCUCCGCGUGCGUGUGUGUGGUGGUUCUUUUUCGGCUGCUCGACGGAUUGGAUUCGGCGGCGACCGUACGGGUGCGCCGCAGCGUUGCUGCCACUGACGCCGCUACCUGGAUUCGUUCGCCAGCGUGGAUUUGUCUCGCCGGUGCUUGGAGUCUCAGCCGCCGCCAGCAAGGGAGAAAUAGACAUGGCAUCUGCGGGUCAAUCUUCAGUUGAGAGGCUGGGAAGCACCAAGCAUAUAUCAUUUGGUAACCGUAUUGCUGAAUUGUUGUAUCCCUUGUCGUCAUACCCGUAUCGCGCCCAAGAAUCAGUGAGCACACAAACGAGGAGGAGCGCGCCGCCGACGAGAUCAUCAAGAAUCAGUAUCAUAGGCUCCUCCAUGACCGUUCUGUGCUACUCUGUUAGGUUGGAAGCCCAUUUUGAGAAGGUGCAGAGGAUCUCGGAUACAACCACGCUGCCAUUUGCUAUGCACUACCUACGUUCGCGGAUAAUGGAGGAGCUGGAUAUUUCGCACCUGACCGAGAGGCUGCUGCAAGGGAAGGGAGAGCUGACGCCAGAGGACAAGUACGAGACCUGGGAGAAGAUCAAAAUUCUGAGUAUGGUCAUAGUCCUCAUGGUUGCAUGGAUAAAGUGA